ACGUAGGGAGCAAGCGUUGUCCGGAAUUACUGGGUGUAAAGGGAGCGUAGGCGGGAUGGCAAGUAGAAUGUUAAAUCCAUCGGCUCAACCGGUGGCUGCGUUCUAAACUGCCGUUCUUGAGUGAAGUAGAGGCAGGCGGAAUUCCUAGUGUAGCGGUGAAAUGCGUAGAUAUUAGGAGGAACACCAGUGGCGAAGGCGGCCUGCUGGGCUUUAACUGACGCUGAGGCUCGAAAGCGUGGGGAGCAAACAG
This 250-nucleotide ribosomal RNA is filed under the name uncultured bacterium. Its description in RNAcentral is "partial 16S ribosomal RNA". It matches the Rfam family "Bacterial small subunit ribosomal RNA", at positions 525 to 775 of the family's 1533-position model. The record is from RNAcentral.